AACGACUCUCGCCAACGGAUAUCUCGGCUCUCGCAUCGAUGAAGAACGUAGCGAAAUGCGAUACUUGGUGUGAAUUGCAGAAUCCCGUGAACCAUCGAGUCUUUGAACGCAAGUUGCGCCCAAAGCCUUCCGGCCGAGGGCACGUCUGCCUGGGCGUCACGC
Molecule: ribosomal RNA, 162 nt
Filed under: Opuntia sp. LCM-2011a
Lineage: Eukaryota; Viridiplantae; Streptophyta; Magnoliopsida; Caryophyllales; Cactaceae
Description: 5.8S ribosomal RNA
Rfam family: 5.8S ribosomal RNA
About the family: 5.8S ribosomal RNA (5.8S rRNA) is a component of the large subunit of the eukaryotic ribosome. It is transcribed by RNA polymerase I as part of the 45S precursor that also contains 18S and 28S rRNA.
Source: RNAcentral